This 358-nucleotide ribosomal RNA is filed under the name Alasmidonta triangulata. Its description in RNAcentral is "partial large subunit ribosomal RNA". It matches the Rfam family "Bacterial large subunit ribosomal RNA", at positions 1808 to 2370 of the family's 2925-position model. The record is from RNAcentral. Lineage: Eukaryota; Metazoa; Mollusca; Bivalvia; Unionida; Unionidae.
CAAAAACAUCGUCUUCUGAAAACUCUUGAUAGAAGAUAAUGCCUGCCCAGUGAAAUUUUAAACGGCCGCGUUAGCGUGAGCGUGCUAAGGUAGCGUAAUAAUUAGCCUUUUAAUUGAAGGCCAGUGAAUGGCAAGACUAGGAAUAUCUUUACUCUGUGUGUAAAAAAAACUUCUUAUCCGAGUGAAAAAACUUAGAUAAUAAAAGUAGACGAAAAGACCCCGCGGAGCUUUACCUUUUCUUAUACUAUUGUAUAUCCUCUAUAAGUAAUUAAGGUUUGAUUGGGGCAAUCUUGGAACCAAUAAAGCUUCCAAUUCUCAAUAAAAUCUAUUUAAAAUUUAUUAAGGACCAAAAAGAAGU